UCUAGUUCCCAGGGCAUGGGUCUAUCAGCGUAGUGCCAAACAAUUAUAUAACUACCACAGUAAGCAAUGGCAUAAAAUACCUCUAGUUUGUUUACUGGCAAACUUCAAUUCACUGGGUCUUAAAUCAGUUAUUCAAAGGGGAAAACUGAUUUUCUUAUGUAAUGUGUGACUGCAGUACAAAUUAGACAAUAGCUCAAGUGGUCACCAGGUGGUAUAUGUGAUUUGAAAAUUAUUCAAGAUCUCAAUAAUUUCUUUUUAAUCUAUAAAAUAUAUUCUGAUAUUCCACAUAACAAGUUUCUCUCUCCUUCGUGCUCAACCUUGUUUAUGUCAGAAUUGUUCCACUAUGCAAGUCUUACUGGUUCAGGAAAAUGUUCCUCUUUCAGACUAAGAAUCAGUCUUUGAUCAUUUUGAUCACGCUUUGCCACCAAUUUCAGUGCCUAUUGUCUCUGACCAAACUGCUGCUGUGCCUUCUUUCUCCCCUCUGCCUUACAACCCCCUUCAGGUCUCUCCAACCCCCCUGGAUACUGCAGCAUUCUCCCAGUUGCCAGACUAUAACCCUAUAACUCGUGCUGUCAUAUCUCAUUCUUCUUCAGCCUUCCUCCUCACCACUACCUCUGAGCCUACAAGCUAUAAUUCAAUAUCCCCUAAACUGUUACCUCAUACAAUUUCUACCCAAACUCCUCUCUUGCCCAUACCAUGAUUGUCCACUCCUCCCACCUCUCCUCUGUCACCAGUUCCCCUCCGACCCUUGCUAUGUUGUAAGACAUCUGAUACCUGUCCCCUACUGCCAGCACCACUUCUGCCUCUCACCCUUUUUUGUUCAGCUCUCUCCAGUAUAAAGACAGCUUCUUCAAACCCAAAGGCUCCAUCCUCAAAUCCUGCCCACCUAAUUCCCCUCUGAAGUUGCAAGAAUAGCUAGGCUAGUAAAAGUUCAUAUCCCUUUCUUGUUAAAUUAUUUAUCAGUCUUAGGAAAACGUCUCGGGUGUUAUACAUUGGAUCCAGACACUUACAUUAAAGAAUUUAAAUAUCUUACUUAGUCAUAUGAUCUUACCUGGCAUGACAUCCAUGAUUUUAAUAACUAUCUUGACCCCUGAAGAUAGUCUGGGUAGCCACACAAAGAGAGGUGAUGAAGGGCAUGCCCAGAACAGGGAUAAGGCCAUGGACUUCAAGGCAGUGCCCAGCACAACCCUAAUUGGAAUUAUCAGAUGGUCGUGAGGACCUUAUUCUUCAAAAUGAUAAUGAUUUGUAUCUCAUUGAGGGCUUGGCGAAAGCCUCAAAUAAGGCAACCAAUUAUGACAAAAUUAGGAAAUCAUUCAGGAACCAAAUGAAAAUCCUGCCAAAUCCAUCUUCCAGAAAGGUUUACUUACGUAUACCAAAGUAGACCCUACUACACUAGAAGGGAUCAUUGUACUUCACUCAAAUUUCAUCUCACAAUCAGCUCCAGACAUUAAAAGAAAACUGAAAAGGUUAGAAUGUGGACCCCAGACUUCACAGCAAGAUCUUCUCAAUGCUGCAUUCAAAGUUUUCAACAGUAGGGAGGAUCAGGAAAAGUUAUAUAAGCUACAAUGAGAUAAGGUUAAAUGUCAAAUGUUAGCAAGCGCCCUCCAGGGCAGAGUGAGUGUGUCUAAACUAGUUAUUGGGCCACACACAAGUGUGCCACGAGGACCCUGCUUCAAAUGCUCCCAUUUCGGGCAUUGGGCAAAUGUAUGCCCUAAUCUGUGACCUCUAAGAAGUCCAUGUCCAUACUACAAACAGAAAGGUCAUGGGAAAUGACUGCCCAACUCGACAGAAAGUGGGUGGGAUAGUUUAUCCCACUAGACCUCCGGAGCAACCUGCUCAAGAUGCCUCAGUGUUAGAGCUGCUUGGCUUGACCUUGGUGGAUUGAUGGUACCCAGAGUGUAAGGCCCCACUGAAGAUCACCCAUCUCGAGCCCAGGUUCUGCUGAUUGAGAAACUAUGCCUGCCCUUUCCUUUUUCCCUUUCUGAAAAAGAUUUGCAGCUACAAGUUUUAUGUUCUUCCUCUUCAGAUUGAAGACUUCAUACAUAAACAAACCGAAGACAGUUGCUUCUGGACAUCAUUUCAGAUUUGUUCUGGCCUGUGCCAGUUAGAUAUUUUUAUGAAUGUAUACCUAGCCUUUCCGUGAUUUUCUUUUGCUAAAGGUCAGGAGAGGUAAGUUUGAUUACAUUUUGUCAGUGAUUACUCCCCUGCUACCCUAGGCACCAUCAAGGGAUUUAAAGGAAAUAUAUUUUUGUUUAUUAUCUACCUUUUGAGAAAUGUCCUGCAAUAAAAGAAGUAUUGUCAUAAUUCUGUGCUUCUGGGACAUCCUAUUCACUUUAACACAAGACGCUUUAAACUAUUAAAUAUUUUAGAAAAACUUUAUGCAGUUUAAAUGUCAUCCAAGACAUCUACUCUAGCAAAGUUAAUACUUUGGUGUUUUUCUGUCCCAUUGGGAACUCUCAGAAAAAAUACGAUAUUUAUUGUUGUUGUUUUUAAUAUUGCAAUUGUGUUGAAGAAAAGUUUACAGUAUGGCCAUGUUUGUUACUGUAAUUUCUGGUAAUAAGAAUGUAAAUCCUUUUUUUCUCCUCUCUUUUUUACUUUCAACCCAAAUAGUAACAUUCAUUAUAAAACCAGAAAUGAGAAACAACCUAAAUGUCUAAAAAGAAAUAAAUUGUGGUAUACAUCAAA
Molecule: long non-coding RNA, 2685 nt
Organism: Echinops telfairi (small Madagascar hedgehog)
Lineage: Eukaryota; Metazoa; Chordata; Mammalia; Afrosoricida; Tenrecidae
Exons: 2
Source: RefSeq, a predicted model, not a curated record